GUAUAAUUAACACUGUACACCAAUGCUGUGUUGGCUUGCUUCUAUGUUUUUCUGCCCCAUAUUUGUUGAUAAUUCACUGAUGCAGCUUUAAUGCUUAACGCUUUAACCACCAUAGUACGUUAUUCAGCAUGUGCACAGCUUUUGGUUUUCUGUGAUGCGCUCAAUCGUUCCAAACCUCGGUGGAGUUUGGUGGGACUGCUGUUGUUCCCUUGAGCAUUUACAAAGCGGUAUUGUGGGAAAUCCUAACCUGUGUUUGGUGCCUGACGCAUGUUUAAUCUCUCCCUCUUGUUAUCUGGUCCUCAUGCACGUUGAAGUCUUCCACUGUGCGUUAAGAUCGUUGCAGCGGAGGCUCCUGCUAACAACCGAUUGAAACUGUGAAUUACUACGACUGACACUGGCACAAAUAUAGUCUGAGCAUUUCAAUUGAUUGUGCAGAUUUUAUACCGUUGUUCUGUUAUAUAUUAUAGAAUAUAAACUUUUUGUAACUCAGGUAUUUUGUUAACGGUCGGUUACUUCAUGUUACCUUUUAAGAGGAUUGCAUGUAUCGUCAACAAUUGAAGUCUUUGUUUAACACCGGAGCAUUGAAUAUUAUCCCAGCAUGGCUGUAUAUUUAAACAGGAUUUUGAGAAGGCUGUUUUUUUACCACUAUAAAAACAGGGGGAAAAGUAUUUAUAGGCCUGAUCAAUUAACACAGAUUAAAAUAAUAGCACUGUUUUGUCUUAUUAUUUUACUAUGCCAAGUAUUAUAUUUUCAAGAAGAGCUUAGUAAAAAAAAUCAAGGCACUGAUCCUGAUGACUAUUGUACCCACCUUCCCCCCUGUGAUCAAAUCCCUGUAGCAGGUAUUAAUGUUUUCCAUUCACAGAUUGCCCUUAAAGUUGUCCCCAUACCUCCUUAAGGAGAUCAACUAACCCUAAAACAUGCAAUCACAAGGAGUGUCUUUGAUCAAUACUGACGGGUAAGUAGACAUAAUGGACAAAAUGAAAAGAACCUGACAGUUUCUUUGACUGAAAUGAUUGCUGGUAUUUACAUGAAUGGUUUCUACUGUAGUUCUUGGUGGUUUGACACUGUAAUGAUGAAUCUACUGUAAAAGAAAAGUACUGUUCUGGUGAGUUUUGAGAGAUGAGAAAAACCUGUAAUCCAUGUUGAGGAAUUUUGUACUGAAGAGAAAUGUCAAGUGUGUUCCAGUCUCAUCGGAAUGAUUCAACCUACUAUGUAACAGAUGUGUCAUAUUUAUUUAUACCGUAUUUUUAAUAAACCAGUUUAAAGCAUUUGAAAGGAAUC
This is a long non-coding RNA of Gasterosteus aculeatus aculeatus (three-spined stickleback), 1281 nucleotides long. The record is from Ensembl. Lineage: Eukaryota; Metazoa; Chordata; Actinopteri; Perciformes; Gasterosteidae.